RNA transcript from Drosophila kikkawai, 1417 nucleotides. RefSeq lists it as uncharacterized. NCBI's taxonomy places the organism in Eukaryota, Metazoa, Arthropoda, Insecta, Diptera, Drosophilidae. The record is from RefSeq and is a predicted model, not a curated record.
CACAAUCUGUCAACGAAACCUGUCGAGAAAAACUAACUAUUUAACGACGAAAAAUGGAAAAUGAAAUGAAUUCAACACCUCCUACCUUGGCAAACGUUGGCUUGCACAGGGUGACUGAGACCCGUAACCGCCGUUUCAAGGAACCUAAGAAGCUGGUGGCAUGUUCCACAGAUGACGAGUUGUUCGUAAAGCGUCCACAUUUCACAAAGAAAAACCUUUCCGAAGACCAGGAAAUGGAGGAGGAAGGCGGUGAGAAUUGGGUGACCAAUGACCUGGAAGGACCCAACUCUACACUCAUUGCCCAGAGGCUGAUGAACUUCCUUAUGAUGGCCUCAUCACACCGCUGGAUCUGGCACGAGUUCGGGGACUCCUUUAUGAAUGCUCCCAUCCUGCGUGGAGCCUACGACCUGGGCAGCUUCUCGCGCGAGUACUAUCCGGAGUUGAAGACUAGCUUCUUGCCGCGCCGCGGAUGGCAGCUGCUCCGCCGAAGUUUGGGCAAGGCUCGCCGUUAUUCGCCGUCCUUCAUUGAACUAGAGCUCAAGGAGUAUGGCCCCAGUGUGCCACAGGCGCAGCAGUCCAAGGAGCGGUAUGAAUACAGCAGCAAGCUUCUAGAGUCCAUAGUGUUGGUGAAGAGACUGUUAGCCAAGAAGAAGAAGGCUCUACUGGAGAUUGCCUCCAAAAACGAGGAGUUUGAGAGCGGCAACGACUCCAAGAGCUGUAAAAGUUCCAAGGGCUCCAAGAACUCUGGCGGCUCCAAGACAACGUUGCAACUCUGCUUUGCUACUCUGUAUCGUGUGAAUGCCGACAUCAUGGCACCCAUGACUGUCCUUCACGAGCACUUGGCUCAAUUCCGCAAGGAGCAGGAGGAAAUGGAGGCUAUGGAACGCAGCGCCCUCGAGAUCUACGCCAAGUGUUGCCACCGGGCCGAGAUGGAUCUCCAGUUGGCCGAGAGGCAUAAAUCUCUAGUGCUAACUUCGCCUGCCACCAGAGAUUUGGUUCAGGCUCUUCAAACCAUCCUGUAUAUCACUGGGGAGUUGGGAGGACCGAACAGCGCCGAAUUGCUGGUCAUCCAGGACAACCUGAUCUCGCACUUGCAGGACAGUCUCCCUCCGGCACUGAGUGCCCAGCUUAAGAAGACGAUGAAGGAACUGGAACCUUACCGCCAGCGCAUGAAUGAAUUAUUCAAGAUCGUCCCGAAGGAGAGUCCCAUAGAGGAAAUGCAGUGGGAUAUCCAGUAGUAGCUUUACUUAGAGCCUCUUAGCAGAGGAUACCAACAAAAGGAACCUAACCAGAGUGUCAUGUGCAUUGGGAGCCACAAGGAGCUUAACGAAGUUUCCUCCCCCAGAAGAAUUUGCAGCAUUGCAGUCUUCUUGAAAUACUUAUAUUGAGGGUUGUGGGAGGAAGCUGAUGAAGAAUA